RNAcentral lists this long non-coding RNA (215 nucleotides) under Elaeis guineensis (African oil palm). RNAcentral's name for it is "long non-coding RNA (EGUI_LNC059208)". Lineage: Eukaryota; Viridiplantae; Streptophyta; Magnoliopsida; Arecales; Arecaceae. The record is from RNAcentral.
CAUCUUUUCAUCUGCACCUCUUAUCCAUCUAAAAUUCACUUACACCCUAUGGGUCUUACCUUUUUAGGUAAAUCAAUGAAUGUCCAUACAUCAUCGAUCUUCAUGGACUUUAUUUCAGAUUUAAUGGCUCCAAGCUACUUCUCAAAGUUAGAUCCCUAUAUUGCAUCCAUAUGGGAGAUCAAAUCUCCAUCCCAAACUUAGAAAUCGAAAUAUCU